UGGGUGGGGCCAAGCUGGUCGCCUAGGUGACCAUCAGGGGCGCGCAACGUCGUUGCCCGCGGGCUUUGUUUGGCCUCCGAGCGCGCAGGCUCUUUCGGGUGCGCGGGCGCCACCCCUGCCCAGGUCGGGGCUGCCUAGAGCCGCGGGUGCCGAGUCCGCCUACAAGCAGUGUGGCCAGGAGCGCCGGGCGGACGCCCUUCUCCUGAGAAGUGGUGAUAGCCACACGCGACAGUCGCCACCGCCCAGCCACUAGGCUCGGGGCUCUGUGAAUCGGUGCCCCAGAGCGGUACUCGCAGCGUUCUUGUGAAGAUUCCCGGCGGGUGCCGGAAACCGGACCGCGCAGUAAGAAGAGGAGAUGUCUCUGGUGGGGCUUUUGCUCUUGUGGGAUUACUUUUCUAGUAGUGCCUCAUGAGGAGUUCUCUGUGACAGUUGACUGAGCAAGAAAAACUCAAGCCUAGUUUUACAGAUGUUUUUGUGUGAUAUGUGGGCAAUAACCUCAAGUGGACAACUGCCACACUAUAUAUAGCUGCUCUCUGUGACAGCCACUGAAAGAAAGAGGUGAAGGGAAAUCCUCCAAGUGGGUGAAACUCCAAGCAGUGCACCUGGUUGUUUAUUUUGCUUGGAAGGAGAAAUGGCCAUUUGUGUGAUUAUACACUGACUCAUGGGCUAUGGCAAAUGGUUUGGCUGGAUGGUCAGGGACUUAGGAGGAAAAUGGUUAGGAAAGUGGUAACAAGGAAGUCUGCAGAAGAGGAAUGAGAAUGUGAAGUGUGAAGAUAUUUGUGUCCCAUGUAAAUUCUCACCAAAGGGUGAUCGUGGCAGAAGAAUACUUAAAUGAUCAAGUGGAUAGAAUGACAUAUUCUGUGGAUACCAGUCAGCCUCUUUCCCCAGCCAUUCCUGUCAUUGCCCAAUGGACUUAUGAGCAAAGUGGCCAUGGAGGCAAGAGCUGAGGUUAAACAUGGGCUUGGCAAAAUGGAAGAACACUCGUCAAUGCCAGCCUAGCUAUAGGCACUGCUCAAUGACCAAAUUGCCAGAAGCAGAGACCAAUAUUGAGCCCUCGUUAUGGCAUCAUCAUUCCUUGGGUUAUCAGCUGAUUACGUGUUGGCAGGUUGAUUACAUCGGACAACUUUCAUCAUGGAAAGUAUAGCACUUUGUCAUUACUAAAAUAUAA
Molecule: long non-coding RNA, 1168 nt
Organism: Hyaena hyaena (striped hyena)
Lineage: Eukaryota; Metazoa; Chordata; Mammalia; Carnivora; Hyaenidae
Exons: 3
Source: RefSeq, a predicted model, not a curated record